Long non-coding RNA from Phalaenopsis equestris, 342 nucleotides. RefSeq lists it as uncharacterized. NCBI's taxonomy places the organism in Eukaryota, Viridiplantae, Streptophyta, Magnoliopsida, Asparagales, Orchidaceae. The transcript is spliced from 3 exons. The record is from RefSeq and is a predicted model, not a curated record.
GGCGAGGAAGUUCAUUUCCUUCAAUAUCAUGCGCACCGCUAUGACCGAGAAACACCUGAUUUCACAUUUUCUUGUAAGGUUUGAAAAAAAAUUAAAUCAAUGUAGAAUACGUGGCCAAUAGUGGGCAGCGGGCGGGUUGUUGAUGGCGGGUGACAACAGAGGGCGAGUGGUUGGUGGUGGGUUACAGCAGCCGGCGAUGGUAAGCGGUGAAGGGUGGCGGCAGCAGAUGGCAGGGGCGUUGUGUUGAUGACGGCAACGUGCAACACUUAACACAAAACGGGGCACGAGGUUCGAUCAAGUACUUCUUACAAAAAGGAACCCACUUUCUCGCGAACUCAGCAG